GUCGGGAUAGCUCAGUUGGUAGAGCAGAGGACUGAAAAUCCUCGUGUCACCCCGGUUUCAAAUA
This 64-nucleotide transfer RNA is filed under the name Narcissus tazetta subsp. chinensis. RNAcentral describes it as "partial tRNA-Phe". It matches the Rfam family "tRNA", at positions 1 to 59 of the family's 71-position model. Rfam says of the family: Transfer RNA (tRNA) molecules are approximately 80 nucleotides in length. Their secondary structure includes four short double-helical elements and three loops (D, anti-codon, and T loops). Lineage: Eukaryota; Viridiplantae; Streptophyta; Magnoliopsida; Asparagales; Amaryllidaceae. The record is from RNAcentral.